Molecule: RNA transcript, 2217 nt
Organism: Orcinus orca (killer whale)
Lineage: Eukaryota; Metazoa; Chordata; Mammalia; Artiodactyla; Delphinidae
Gene: PPIH
Gene name: peptidylprolyl isomerase H
Exons: 11
Source: RefSeq, a predicted model, not a curated record
CGGAGACGAAACCCUCAGAGCAGGGACUAGGUUCGCCGUAACCCCGCGCUCCCAACUUCUGCUUCCGGGUCGGAGCCAUGGCGGUGGCAAAUUCAAGCCCUGUCAAUCCCGUGGUGUUUUUUGAUGUCAGCAUUGGCGGCCAGGAAGUUGGCCGCAUGAAGAUCGAGCUCUUUGCAGACGUUGUGCCUAAGACGGCCGAGAAUUUUAGGCAGUUCUGCACUGGAGAAUUCAGAAAAGAUGGGGUUCCAAUAGGAUACAAAGGGAGCACCUUCCACAGGGUCAUAAAAGAUUUCAUGAUUCAGGGUGGAGACUUUGUUAAUGGGGAUGGUACUGGAGUCGCCAGUAUCUACCGGGGGCCAUUUGCAGAUGAAAAUUUUAAGCUUAGACACUCAGCUCCAGGCUUGCUUUCCAUGGCAAACAGUGGUCCCAGUACCAAUGGCUGCCAGUUUUUCAUCACCUGCUCUAAGUGUGAUUGGCUAGAUGGGAAGCACGUGGUGUUUGGAAAAAUCAUUGAUGGACUUCUGGUGAUGAGAAAGAUUGAGAAUGUUCCCACAGGCCCCAACAAUAAACCCAAGCUGCCUGUGGUGAUCUCACAGUGUGGAGAGAUGUAGUCCAGAGGAAGACUGAAUCAGGGUGAGAGCCCAUCAUGCUCCUGAGAUUCCAAAGGGUAGCCUGACCCUCCAAAAAGAACCAGGCCAGUAGGAGCCACUGAAGGAUUUUGAGCAGGAGAACACGACCCUCCACAUCUGCCAUUGCAGGCCUUCCCUUGCUCGGGGUGACGUUCUUGAGUAAGAUAAGCUGGAUUGGCCCCUGUGUUUGCUUCCCUGCCUGCUGCUGCCCCAUUUGAUCAAAAGACCUUGGAAGUAUCACAGACUCAGAAGCCAAGAUUUUGUGUUUAAGUUUUCAACUGUAAAUAAAGUUGUUCUUUUUUUUUUUUUUGGUUUUUUUUUUUUUUUUUUUAACCGUGUGUUGUGUUCUUUUUAAAUGGUUGUAAUGAUAGCCCUGUUUCCUCACUCCUUAGCUCCAGCUAGGAGUACUGACUCUCGCCAGAGACCAGCAUGGGCCAGAGCCAGGCCCUUGAUAUGUAGAGUUGAUGCCUCAGAUUUACAAGCAGUUGUAGCAGUCCCCUCUUAGGUUCAAGCUGAUCGGGCAAAGAAGGCAAAGCCCCAGGGCCUUAUGUUUCCAGUAGGUUCAUUUUGGUUAGUUCUAGAGCCUGUGGGUGAAGGGUCACUAGCUUGGGAUAUUUUUGGAUGGGAGACCAUUUGGUAGAACGUGUCUUGAUCAUGAUGAAGUGGAAAUCAUUUAUUAAUAGUUAAAAAUCUUGGUUUGAAUCCGAAGUCAUUUUUUAAACAGCUGAGGUCUUGAGAUGUUCACUUCCCCAUUCAGAGCCUCAGUUUCCUCAUCUGUAAAAUGGGGAUAAUAAUACUACUUCACAGCAUUGUCGAAAGGGUCAAACAAGAGAAUGGAGAUGAGGAUAACUUGUAGACAGUAACGUGCGUUGGAAAAUUUUGUUUUGAAAGGAAAUAAAAGGAUAACAAAAACAUAAAAGAUAAAAAGAUCCCAUUGAGUGUAAUGUUCAGGAGGUAAAGGGAGUCCCCUGGUAUUCCUUUCAUGAGGCAGUUUCUGUUAUCCCAUUCCUACUUUCUCCUGGCUCAUGGCAGGGAUGACUCAUAACUACUAGCAGCAGGCUACUGCAGCAGCAGAGUAGCAGAGAGCUGAAUUCUGUGAUAAAAUAGAACCAGGCUAAAAGUGCCAUUUCAGUGUACUGGGGGACAAGAAAGGUGGUGAGAUAUUCAAGGGCCCUAUAGUUUGGAUAUUUGCAACUGUCUAGCUAAGUAAACAGGAUUCAGGGCACACGGGAAAGAAAGGGUUGUGAUCUAGUGGAGGAGAAAUCUUCAAGUAACUAAACGGGGUAGAAUUAUAAAGAGAGAGGAAGGAGGAUGAGCAGCUGGGAUCCUGAGCUGAUGUUCUUAUGAUGGGCCAUUCAGUUGAAUUCAGUUACACUUGGCACCUGCAUUCUUUGCCAGUUUCUGUAAAGCUGUAAAGAUGAGUAAGAUGUGGCCUAUGUUUGUGACAGGGGAUAGGCAUGGUUUGGAUUCAGUGUGGUGUUAGAAUGUGAGCCCUUAUGAGGACAAGAAAGCUGGUCGUUUUUGUUUUUCACUGCCGUCUCCAGCACCUAGUAGCCAGUAAGUGUUCAAUAAAUAUUUGUUGUGUGAA